RNAcentral lists this ribosomal RNA (447 nucleotides) under uncultured bacterium. RNAcentral's name for it is "bacterial SSU rRNA". It matches the Rfam family "Bacterial small subunit ribosomal RNA", at positions 331 to 794 of the family's 1533-position model. The record is from RNAcentral.
CCAGACUCCUACGGGAGGCAGCAGUGGGGGAUAUUGCACAAUGGGGGGAACCCUGAUGCAGCGACGCCGCGUGGGUGAAGGAGUGCUUCGGCAUGUAAAGCCCUAUCGGCAGGGAAGAAGCAAGACGGUACCUGACUAAGAAGCCCCGGCUAACUACGUGCCAGCAGCCGCGGUAAUACGUAGGGGGCGAGCGUUAUCCGGAUUCACUGGGUGUAAAGGGAGCGCAGGCGGUUCUGCAAGUCUGAUGUGAAAGCCCGGGGCUCAACCGCGGGACUGCAUUGGAAACUGCGGGACUGGAGUGUCGGAGGGGUAAGCGGAAUUCCUGGUGUAGCGGUGAAAUGCGUAGAUAUCAGGAGGAACACCGGUGGCGAAGGCGGCUUACUGGACGAUGACUGACGCUGAGGCUCGAAAGCGUGGGGAGCAACCAGGAUUAGAUACCCCCGUAGA